CAAAGCCACCUGACUGGUCAUCCGAUAAGGUUGCUAUGGGAUGCCUUUCUGUAUGCUGUGAAUGUGUGUUGCUCUGCUUGGUUGAUAAAUAAAGCUACAUUGGCCUACGGCAGGGCAGGAUGGAGCCAGGAAGGAAAAACCAAGGGAGAUGGAUUAGGAAAUCUAACACGUCUACAACUACGGUUCAUAUGUACUCCAUUAAAAUGGGGACAAGUCUCAGUAAGCAGGUAAUGUGGAGCUGUGCUAUUUCCUAGAGGACAUCAGCAGGUGUGCAAGCCCAUGUGAAAAGCCCGCGUGCUGAGAACUAGGGCCUCCUGCUGAGCCAACACCAACUACUCAUCGAAGAGAUGACAGGUGACUACCCAGCUGUGGUUGGCUCUCCUGGGAAGUGAAUCCUUAGCCCGCCAAUCCUCAGAUGACAUCAUACCAGCCUCAUCAAAAUUUCUAUCUAGGAUGAUCCUGCUAAGCUGACCUCAAGUUCCUGACCCACUCUGAGAGACCGUGAGAGAGAAUACAUAACUAUUUUGUUCUUUUAGGCCAGCAAGUUGGGAGUAAUUUGGUGUUAGAUAACUAACAGACUUCUGCUGUGUCUCAUUCCCUGCCCCUGGUGGGGAAAUGGGAGGCCGUGAUGCAUUCUUCCCAGGCUUUUGUCCUGAAUUGUCUCAGUUCUGAGCAUUUCCAGAAGGGAGGAAAUGGCCCUGCCGGAGACCCUCCUACCAUGUGGCAUCACCUUCCUGCAUGUCGCUGUCAUGGCCUCUUGAAAAUGUUUCUUCUCUGGACUGAAGAGUGUGCCUUAAGAUGGCCGUAGCUUGGUUUAGAGGAAUGCUUUUACUCCAUUUGCUCCUUCCUCCCGCAUUUCCCUGAGGACUCAGACAAGGGCCACAAGCUGACUAAUUUAACCAUCCUGCAGACAGGACUGAACACGUCUAGACUCAGGCUUGGGACCCACCGUCUUCCAAGUGAUAUAUUGCUGCAGGCAAAACCUGCACCUGGGCGGAGGGAAAGGCUAUGGAAUAUAAUCUUGUUCAAGCUUC
Molecule: long non-coding RNA, 1034 nt
Organism: Peromyscus eremicus (cactus mouse)
Lineage: Eukaryota; Metazoa; Chordata; Mammalia; Rodentia; Cricetidae
Exons: 2
Source: RefSeq, a predicted model, not a curated record